This is a long non-coding RNA of Protopterus annectens (West African lungfish), 1275 nucleotides long. RefSeq lists it as uncharacterized. The transcript is spliced from 2 exons. The record is from RefSeq and is a predicted model, not a curated record. Lineage: Eukaryota; Metazoa; Chordata; Ceratodontiformes; Protopteridae.
AUUUGAGUUUACAUGAUUUGGUCUCGCUGUUUUGAAAAUCGAUGAAAUGAGCUUUCAACGAUAUGAAGUGAAACCAUUGACCUCCAUAUGCAUCUAGCAGGGCUGUGUCACAUGCAUCUUUCAGCAACAAAGCACUCACACCUAUCGUAAGAUGAAACUCGUGCUCAUAUUGCAUCUGCUGUAUCACAGUAAACAUGCUGAUUUGGUGAUAAGUAUUUUGCACAAAUAUAAUGAUAUAUAUAUAUAUAUAUAUAUAUAUAUAUAUAUAUAUAUAUAUAUAUAGAGAGAGAGAGAGAGAGAGAGAGAGCCAGCUCCAUUGGCAUUAAGAGAUAAAGCCCUAAGCUGACAGGGGGUGGGGAAGGAAUGGCGAUGUGGAACCUGCUUCCCUUUUCCAUUCCACAGGAUGGCAUACAAGUAGAACUAGGCUGGUUAUUCUGGCUCUGGUGGAGAUUAGCACAGAGACCAGCAGUCAUGUGGAAGGAGCGGCCAAGAUUGGGAGCAUAUUUGCUACUGAGCCUGAGGCAAGGCCUCUCCCAGUAACCAUGCCUCAUUGUUCAGCCCUGUCUUAAUUAUGACAUGAACAUGAAGGGGUAGCAAUAAGCCAAACACCGAAUAAUACACUGCAGUAGAUAUGUGGUUAUGGCAGCUCCUUGACCAGUCCACCUUCCAUGACUUUUACUUCACCAGCUGGGGGGGGACUGGCAGGGUAUAAUCAGGCAACAGGAUUAAAACAAUGUGGCUUGAGAAACAGAAGGGUUGCAGAGGGUGCACCACUCUGCCAUGUGAAGAUUAACCCAAACCAUGUAUAACACAGAUUUGCAAUUAAAAAAAAACUGUUGCAUGUAUUGGUAAAUUAAAUUAUCUUAGGGCUACCUCAUUAGCAGUUCACUUGAUAUAAUCCUUUCAGUUGUCAGUGUUUUUAGUAAUGAUGUUCAACAAAAAUUUCUUAAACAAAAAAGUUCAUCUUUUUUGGUUAAAAUCAAGGUACAUUCCAUUGUUAUUAAAUAUGCUGGAGAAAACUCAUCUGUUAAUACUAUGAGGUACUAGAAAUGUUAAGUGCAUUAGGGCACACAUAUGUUAAUCUGCUCUGAACAUAUUUUUGAAAAGUCUGCUUCCAUUUUUGUCUUUCAGUUGCCUAAAUUAAGUUUAGCAGGUAGCAAUAAUGAGAUAUGAAUCUGCUGUCGUCAGUCCAGCUGCUGACUUUUAUGAAAUGAUGUAUCAUUGUUAUGUAUGUGUAUAUUAUGCAAAAAAAUAAAUAUUUUUAAUUGUAAGCGG